This 376-nucleotide ribosomal RNA is filed under the name uncultured bacterium. RNAcentral's name for it is "bacterial SSU rRNA". It matches the Rfam family "Bacterial small subunit ribosomal RNA", at positions 523 to 898 of the family's 1533-position model. The record is from RNAcentral.
CUACAGAGGGUGCGAGCGUUAAUCAGAUUUACUGGGCGUAAAGCGUGCGUAGGCGGCUUUUUAAGUCGGAUGUGGAAUCCCUGAGCUUAACUUAGGAAUUGCAUUCGAUACUGGGAAGCUAGAGUAUGGGAGAGGAUGGUAGAAUUCCAGGUGUAGCGGUGAAAUGCGUAGAGAUCUGGAGGAAUACCGAUGGCGAAGGCAGCCAUCUGGCCUAAUACUGACGCUGAGGUACGAAAGCAUGGGGAGCAAACAGGAUUAGAUACCCUGGUAGUCCAUGCCGUAAACGAUGUCUACUAGCCGUUGGGGCCUUUGAGGCUUUAGUGGCGUAGCUAACGCGAUAAGUAGACCGCCUGGGGAGUACGGCCGCAAGGUUGAA